This is a long non-coding RNA of Neodiprion virginianus, 1557 nucleotides long. RefSeq lists it as uncharacterized. NCBI's taxonomy places the organism in Eukaryota, Metazoa, Arthropoda, Insecta, Hymenoptera, Diprionidae. The transcript is spliced from 3 exons. The record is from RefSeq and is a predicted model, not a curated record.
AGAAAAACAAACGUGUGUGAAGAAACUUUGACGAAGAACAUUUAAAAUGAUGAAAAAAGUGUUUAAUUUUGGGACGGAUUAAAUCUUAACGAUCCACGGAAUAUGUUAACGAGAUGAGUGGACAAAAUCAAUUAACACGUAGUUGUACGUGUUCAUACGCCGAAUACGGAGAAGCGUGGUAGACAGAUCAGAGGGAUUGCGAUUUCAUGGUCAUUCGUCAAGACUCUGCCUGUGUAUCGACAUUUUAUAUGAAAUAGUGAUCUGUCUCAUUUAACUGAAGAAAUCGAAGGAUUCGAUUGAAUUCUAAUCUGCAGUAAGUAUUUUGAUCGCGAUGCUUUCUUGUCAACCGAUCGACUGAAAAAUUACGCGAUUCCGAUUCCGUUCGAACCACACGUCCGUCUGCGAGUAACGGCACGAAAUCUGCUGUUGUCUUCCGCGCAACACAGUGGGCACGUCGAACCAGGUCUAACCUUCUGGACAUAAAAGACCGGGAUCGCUCAGCUUCGCAAAAGGAAUGGAACGUUGCAAGCCAAGUUCAUCACAACCAAAGUUAAGCUUCGGCGUUGCGAAGAUAAGUUGAAGGAAGGCUAACUUACCGAUAAUAAUUUUAUUAUCGCGAUAAAACGAAGGCUCGAAGGUUUCGUGCUGAUCUUUGUACUGAUACAGUUGUUUCACGUAUCAGGCGAGUCCUAUUCCGGUGAGGAGGAGAAGCUGACAACGAUAAUGUACUACACUUCGCCAAGCUUAUACUUGUGAAAAAUAGCACAAUCGAGUCAGAUUUAUUUUACUAUCGAUUUGUACCACAAGAGGUUGGUUCGAUGAAAUUCAACUUUGGCCCGGACUGUCCCCUGCGAUCUUCCAAAUCUCGUGUGAGAAAGUAGCGUCCAUGGACCCGGUUGAACGUAAGUGCGUAAAUCUUUUCGAGAAAUAAAGAAAACAACCAGAAGCAGUCACCUUUUCACACGUACUCAAACAAAUUUUCAUAUACUGAAUCAAUGUAAAAUGAAAAUGAAAAAUGGUGAUGUAACAUAGUUGAUAUAACAUAUAGCCUUACGAAAGUUUCUUUUUGUAUUCAUUAGUUACACAUAAUAAUAAGGAUAAAAUACACUGUUAUUAUAUUCUACGCAACCUUUAAUCUCAAUAUGGAAAAGUGAGCUUAGUUUGAUUGAUACUUAAAUUAUGUAAUAAUAAUAAUAAUUCGUCAUUGCUUUAUUUAACGUACUUGUAAAACUAUCGAAUAAUGAUGUUCAAGUAGAAGAAUCGAUUCACUGGUCACAAAAAUUCAUUUUGAUAUACUUCAUAGGUAAACAAAUAUGUAGUAUCCUUUGAUCUCAGAAGCAGCGUUAUUACCUCUCCAUAGUGAGACGUUGCUGCGUAACUUGUUAAACCUAUGGUUUUUUUUACAUACAAUUAGUUUUAUUAUUAUCAUUUACCAUCAUAAAAACGUAUGUAAUUGUUCCAAUAAUAAUAACAAUUAUGCAUUUUUAUUUUAUAUCACAAGGUAUGAUAUAUAAAUGAAAAAAGUGUACCUUUCUAUAUUACUAUUAAGUCACCUUA